CGUAGGGUGCGAGCGUUAAUCGGAAUUACUGGGCGUAAAGUGUGCGCAGGCGGCCUCGCAAGUCGAGUGUGAAAUCCCCGGGCUUAACUUGGGAAUUGCGCUCGAAACUACUUGGCUUGAGUGUGGCAGAGGAAGGUGGAAUUCCACGUGUAGCGGUGAAAUGCGUAGAUAUGUGGAGGAACACCGAUGGCGAAGGCAGCCUUCUGGGCCAACACUGACGCUCAUGCACGAAAGCGUGGGGAGCAAACAGGAUUAGAUACCCUGGUAGUCCACGCCCUAAACGAUGAUGACUAGUUGUUGGGGGAGUUAAAUCCCUUAGUAACGCAGCUAACGCGUGAAGUCAUCCGCCUGGGGAGUACGGUCGCAAGAUUA
Molecule: ribosomal RNA, 372 nt
Filed under: uncultured organism
Description: bacterial SSU rRNA
Rfam family: Bacterial small subunit ribosomal RNA
Source: RNAcentral